UAAGAACAAGUUAAUGAGUUAUGUCGAACAUUGAACAUCAGUUUAAAGAAUAAUAAAAGUUACAUAAAUGUGGGGACCAUUUUAACACAUAUUGAAAAAUAUAUGUCACUUUUAAAAUUGUUAUUUUUUUUUAUAAUCAAAUCGUUACUUAAUUGAUUGACUUUUGAGUAUGCUGACCCAUUCAAUCUGCCCUCAUAAACUUCACACCUAUUUAUAUUAUUUGUAGUAAAAAAAAAACAGCUAAUGGCAAAUUCAUUCACAAAUGAAACAUCUCGAAAUAAACCUUUUCUCUCUCUGCUUAUAUCAUUUUAAAAUUCUAUCUUUUUCAUUCAUUUGUUAGAAGUCUUUAUGCCAUUUUCAAAGGACAGGAUAAAAACACAAUUUUCCGACACAGCUUUAGGUAUUAAAUUUUUUAAUGAACUUUAAAUUACAGAGUAUAUAUUCUUCAAGAUGACACCUUACACAUUUAAAGUACUUCAACUCUGACACAACUAGUGCCAAAAGGCAUUUUGUCCCUUCAAUACAAUCACACUGUAUAUAAUGGAUUAUUGUCCGAUGAAAAUAUUUAUUUUAAAUUGUGAAAUCAUUUGAAGCAUUUGAGUCAGACAAAAACAUGCCUUUUUUGUGGGUGUUAAAAAACCCAACCGCAAAAUAUGAAAUAAAAUCAGUCAUAUUAUAAUGUGCCUGAAUUUUACUUUGUUUAUAACAAUUAAUUUUAAUUUGUUUUUAAAAUCUAAUUAUGUGUAGUCAUUCACUUUUAUGUAUUGUGGGUUUCAUAAAUAACUUAUUUUGCACUUAUUUUUGAAUAUUUGGUGGGUACAGGUGAAUCUGUUAGUACUGAGAAUUCAUAAACUAGCUAUUGCACGGUUUUUAUUAUUGCGAAAAAUGCGACAGGGUUACAAUCGCAAUAAUUUUAAAUCGCAUUUAGUUUUUUUUUAUAUGGAUUAAACAGGAUUUUUCUCGAUCUUGCAAUAAUUAAAAUC
Molecule: long non-coding RNA, 983 nt
Filed under: Mytilus galloprovincialis (Mediterranean mussel)
Lineage: Eukaryota; Metazoa; Mollusca; Bivalvia; Mytilida; Mytilidae
Source: RNAcentral